RNAcentral lists this transfer RNA (75 nucleotides) under Natranaerobius thermophilus JW/NM-WN-LF. RNAcentral describes it as "tRNA-Glu (TTC) (tRNA-Glu-TTC-1-1, tRNA-Glu-TTC-1-2)". It matches the Rfam family "tRNA". Rfam says of the family: Transfer RNA (tRNA) molecules are approximately 80 nucleotides in length. Their secondary structure includes four short double-helical elements and three loops (D, anti-codon, and T loops). Lineage: Bacteria; Bacillati; Bacillota; Clostridia; Natranaerobiales; Natranaerobiaceae. The record is from RNAcentral.
GGCCCCUUGGUCAAGUGGUUAAGACAUCGGCCUUUCACGCCGAAGUCAGGGGUUCGAAUCCCCUAGGGGUCACCA